RNAcentral lists this long non-coding RNA (1033 nucleotides) under Zonotrichia albicollis (white-throated sparrow). RNAcentral describes it as "lncRNA (ENSZALG00000014662.1)". The record is from RNAcentral. Lineage: Eukaryota; Metazoa; Chordata; Aves; Passeriformes; Passerellidae.
CAAACCACAUAAUUUUGCAUUUCUAGCUUUCUUUUUCCCUCUCUUUCUAUCCACUCCUUGCAGUUUUACCCCCAGUGCUUCCCAUAUAUCUUUUCAUUCUAGCGCUCUUUUACAUUUCUUACCUACUUCACUCCUUUUCAUUUGCUUCCCACAAAUAUUCAUCCUUUCAGAUUUACCAAUGACCCUGCAGAACUGGAGGACUGUUAAUUGACCUGGAUUUGGGUGGCCUCACACCCUCUGGAGCAGACUGCAAGCAAGAGUAACCUUCCAUGUGUCUGUCCUCGUUUUGAUUGAGAGUCUAUGCUACACACCAGGGAAAACGUGGUUAAUAGAAAAGGCUAAUUGGAAAACCGAAGACUCUUUGCUGCAUCUACUGGAUUUCAUUCAAAAUCUGGAUUCUUUGGCACCACUCUGUCAUCAGUGCUUUAAAAAAACUUGGCCAGGCACUCUUUUCACCCCAGAGAGUGGAAAUAAAAUUGAGGAAGCUGAUCAUAUGACCCUGGGAGAACUGAAAUGAUUGCUCUGACAUGAACAGUCUUUGGUAGGAUCCUAAGGAACAGUAUGCACUGGUGACAUGGUCAGCAGUCAUUAACUUGUUGUCUUGAUCAUCGGUCCCAGGAAAUCUGUGGCUUGCAGCAUGCCUCAUAUUUACUGCUGCUGGUCUAACAUAUGGUUUGCCAUGACAAGCAGUCUUUAAUUUUGGCAGGCCUGUGGUUGUCUCAGAAACAUCAUGUUUAGAGGGAGAAUUUAACAAGAACUUGUAUUGAGUUUUCAAAAUAAUGAGAAACAUUUGACACAGAUUUCUGUGAUUUCAGGUGCAUUUUCUGUAACAUUCUGUUAAGCUGUAAGACAAGAUAUAGUAAGGGACAGUAAAGUUUCAGUUAAUUUUUUCAGACCUUUUUUUACUAUUUUUUAAAUCUCAUGGGUUUUUUUCCUUAAAAACCAAAACUUAACAGACUAGUAUCUACAUAAUGACUACCAACACACAGACCAAUAAUUUCCACAGCAACUGAUGACUAAUGCAAGAAGAAGA